RNAcentral lists this ribosomal RNA (21 nucleotides) under Pichia occidentalis. RNAcentral describes it as "partial 26S ribosomal RNA". Lineage: Eukaryota; Fungi; Ascomycota; Pichiomycetes; Pichiales; Pichiaceae. The record is from RNAcentral.
CUCGACCUCAAAUCUGGUAGG